GCAUCUUUCGCCUCAUUCAACACAACGCUUCAAAGUUUCAACCCGGCGGCUCAAUUUCCAUAUCAACAACCCGGUCCUUUACCUCGAUUUCCUCCUAGUGAUUCCGAUGAGGAAGAGCACCAACCACCGCCCCAGACUUAGAUGAUUCCAGGGAAGUCCUAUUGCACUUUAUUGUUAUCCAAUGAGGGCAUUGUCUUAUUUAAGUUUGGGGGAGUAAUUUGUUUAGUUGCAUACAU
RNAcentral lists this long non-coding RNA (236 nucleotides) under Panax ginseng (ginseng). RNAcentral describes it as "long non-coding RNA (PGIN_LNC005632)". Lineage: Eukaryota; Viridiplantae; Streptophyta; Magnoliopsida; Apiales; Araliaceae. The record is from RNAcentral.